Molecule: ribosomal RNA, 460 nt
Filed under: uncultured bacterium
Lineage: Bacteria
Description: partial 16S ribosomal RNA
Rfam family: Bacterial small subunit ribosomal RNA
Source: RNAcentral
CCUACGGGAGGCUGCAGUGAGGAAUAUUGGUCAAUGGACGAGAGUCUGAACCAGCCAAGUAGCGUGAAGGAUGACUGCCCUAUGGGUUGUAAACUUCUUUUAUAUGGGAAUAAAACGUUCCACGUGUGGGAUUUUGUAUGUACCAUAUGAAUAAGGAUCGGCUAACUCCGUGCCAGCAGCCGCGGUAAUACGGAGGAUCCGAGCGUUAUCCGGAUUUAUUGGGUUUAAAGGGAGCGUAGGUGGAUUGUUAAGUCAGUUGUGAAAGUUUGCGGCUCAACCGUAAAAUUGCAGUUGAAACUGGCAGUCUUGAGUACAGUAGAGGUGGGCGGAAUUCGUGGUGUAGCGGUGAAAUGCUUAGAGAUCACGAAGAACUCCGAUUGCGAAGGCAGUUCACUGGACUGCAACUGACACUGAGGCUCGAAAGUGUGGGUAUCAAACAGGAUUAGAUACCCCAGUAGUC